AUUUUUCUAAUAUAAUUUUAGUAUAAGUGACUUCCAAUCACCUAGCCUUGGUUAAACCCCAAGGAAAAAUA
RNAcentral lists this transfer RNA (71 nucleotides) under Dolichopteryx minuscula (small spookfish). Its description in RNAcentral is "tRNA-Gly". It matches the Rfam family "tRNA". From Rfam's summary of the family: Transfer RNA (tRNA) molecules are approximately 80 nucleotides in length. Lineage: Eukaryota; Metazoa; Chordata; Actinopteri; Argentiniformes; Opisthoproctidae. The record is from RNAcentral.